AAAACUUUCAACAACGGAUCUCUUGGUUCUGGCAUCGAUGAAGAACGCAGCGAAAUGCGAUAAGUAAUGUGAAUUGCAGAAUUCAGUGAAUCAUCGAAUCUUUGAACGCACAUUGUGCCCCUUGGUAUUCCGGGGGGCAUGCCUGUUCGAGCGUCAUUA
Molecule: ribosomal RNA, 159 nt
Filed under: fungal sp. TRN261
Lineage: Eukaryota; Fungi
Description: 5.8S ribosomal RNA
Rfam family: 5.8S ribosomal RNA
About the family: 5.8S ribosomal RNA (5.8S rRNA) is a component of the large subunit of the eukaryotic ribosome.
Source: RNAcentral